ACAGGAGGGUGCUCUGAAGGAGCGGGCACUGAAGGGGCGGGACGGGACCAGUGGAGGCGAAGGAGAUGAAGGAGGGCUGGACAGGACCAGCAGAGACGAGGGAGGGCUGGACAGUACCAGCGGAGGCGAAGGAGAAGGAGGGCUGGACAGUACCAGCGGAGGCGAAGGAGACGAAGGAGGGCUGGACAGGACCAGCAGAGGUGACGAAAACACUGGGCUUAAGUAACAGGGAGUAAAGAUAAUUAAUCAAACACAGGAGGAACCAAAUGGACAUAAUGAACUAUAAUGAGGACAGGAACAGGAAAAUAAC
Cyprinus carpio carpio is the source of this 310-nucleotide long non-coding RNA. NCBI's taxonomy places the organism in Eukaryota, Metazoa, Chordata, Actinopteri, Cypriniformes, Cyprinidae. The record is from Ensembl.